CAGAUGUGUAUAAGAGACAGAUCUCAUUGUCAAAAGGGAAACAGCCCAGAUCUACAGCUAAGGUCCCAAAUUGUAUCUAAGUGGAAAACGAUGUGGAAAUACGCAGACAACCAGGAUGUUGGCUCAGAAGCAGCCACUCAUUUAAAGAGUGCGUAAUAGCUCACUGGUCGAGUGAUUGUGCGCCGAAGAUGUCCGGGGCUAAACGUGACACCGAAGCGAUGGGUGCAUCUGAAGAAGAUGCGCGGUAGAGGAGCAAUGUGCAGAGGCAGAAGCCGUAUCGAGAGGCACGGUGGACACUGCACAAGAGAGAAUGCCGGUAUGAGUAGCGAGAGGCAUGCGAGAAACAUGCCCGUCGAAAGCCCAAGGUUUCCUGGGGAAGGUUCAUCCGCCCAGGGUAAGUCGGGGCCUAAGCCGAGGACGGAAGUCGUAGGCGAUGGACAGCAGGUGUAGAUUCCUGCACUACCGAUGGAAUGAAGCAGUGACACAGAAGGAUAACUCGAGCAGGGUGAUGGUCAACCCUGUGCAAGCAUUGAGGUUGGGUUGUAGUGAAGUACGCAAUCCUAUAAGCUGAGAUGUGAUGCGGACCGAAAUUUCAGUAGGGAAGCGAGUGAGUUCACGCUGGCGAGAAAAGCUGCUAGUACAUCCAAAGGUACCCGUACCGGAAACCGACGCAGGUGGGCGAGGAGAGAAUCCUGAGACGAACGGGAGAACCCUUGUUAAGGAACUCGGCAAAAUGACCCCGUAACUUCGGGAUAAGGGGUGCCUGCGAGAGCAGGCCGCAGAGAAUAGUCACAAGCGACUGUUUAGCAAAAACACAGGUAUCUGCGAAAGCGAGAGCUGACGUAUAGGUGCUGACACCUGCCCGGUGCUGGAAGGUUAAGGGAACAUGUUAGAGCAAUCGAAGCAUCGAACCGAAGCCCCAGUAAACGGCGGCCGUAACUAUAACGGUCCUAAGGUAGCGAAAUUCCUUGUCGGGUAAGUUCCGACCCGCACGAAUGGUGUAACGACUUGUGAGCUGUCUCAACAGGGGGCCCGGUGAAAUUGAAGUAUGGGUGAAGAUGCCCAUUACCCGCGACUGGACGGAAAGACCCCGUAGAGCUUUACUGCAGCCUGAUAUUGAGUUUCGGUAACUGAUGCACAGGAUAGGUGGGAGUCUGAGAGACAUGGGUUUCGGCUCAUGUGGAGACGAUGUUGGGAUACCACUCUUCGGUUACUGAAAUUCUAACAUAGCUCUGUGAAACCAGAGGAUGGACAGUGUCAGGUGGACAGUUUGACUGGGGCGGUCGCCUCCGAAAGAGUAACGGAGGCGCCCAAAGGUACCCUCAGAAUGGAUGGAAACCAUUCGAAGAGCGCAAAGGCAGAAGGGUGCCUGACUGCGAGAUUGACAAAUCGAGCAGAGACGAAAGUCGGGCUUAGUGAUCCGGCGGUAUUGAGUGGAAAAGCCGUCGCUUAACGGAUAAAAGCUACCUCGGGGAUAACAGGCUGAUCUCCCCCAAGAGUCCACAUCGACGGGGAGGUUUGGCAC
Molecule: ribosomal RNA, 1525 nt
Filed under: human gut metagenome
Description: bacterial LSU rRNA
Rfam family: Bacterial large subunit ribosomal RNA
Source: RNAcentral